This 1161-nucleotide small RNA is filed under the name Vigna angularis var. angularis. RNAcentral describes it as "Non-protein coding transcript". The record is from RNAcentral. Lineage: Eukaryota; Viridiplantae; Streptophyta; Magnoliopsida; Fabales; Fabaceae.
AAGAUUAGUUAAAUAGAGUUUUUGUUAGAGGAAAGAGAAGAUAAUAAUCCUAUCUGUGUUUAUCCAAUAUCCAUUAAAGACAGGGUCCCACCAGAAGCAAAACCACUCAUAGGUUUAGCUGUACAGUAUUCCAUCACCCAAAACCACCUUACUCACAUGUUUUACCCCUCUGCCCCCUGUUUCCUCUAUAAAGACACACAGAUUAGUAGUUUCCUAGUCCCAACAACUUAAGACAUGAGUUACUUCUUACGCAUCUGGAUGUCCAACACUGUGGCCACGGCAAUGGAAGAACCCACCACCAAGAGUUGCAGAAGGUUAUUCUCCGGCAGAGACUGUUCGGAGACCAGAGCUACCAGGUUGAGUGACGUGACCGGUCGACGAGUUCAACCAGAUGAGUCUCUCAGAAUAGUUAUGUAUUUCAGUUGCUGGGGUCAGGGAUAGCAUCCUCUGUUUGGCGUCUCACCAAAUGUAUUUGCAUCUCUUUCUACUUUUUCCUCUUGUAAAUUGGACGGAAUCGAUGGCGACCAACUCCUCUGAACCUGAGAGGGCCUUCAGGAUACCUCUCACACAACUCCAUGCGGUUGAAACAGUCUGCAAGAUACACUCCUUGCUGUGCAGCUACCUAUAGUGAUUCAAAAUUGGAAGGCAUCACAGAGCACAAGUAAGAUGACCCUUUUGACAAGGAAAAGUUUCAACACAUCAAGCACUAUUGAGAAGUAGUGUUUGCUGUAUGCACUUGUACCUGAGCUGUGGCAGGAAGAUUUUUCAUCUGAGAGUCUACUUUGGAAAGGGCUUCUUUGAAGUAUUCAAUGUCCACAGAAAUGCCGCUUUCUUGGGAUUUCUUUAGCAAGCUGGCCAUGUCUUUCAUUUGGUUCUUCUUUAAAUAAAUUUCCACUUGAGGGUACCUUUCAAUAAUGUCAUCAACAACGUCUUUAAAUGCUUUAAGAUCUAAUUUUCCGGAAUUGUUCUGGUCAGCCUUGCUAAAUAUCACGGCUAUAUCUUCCUGGUAAAGCCAUGGCACACAAAACUGUUAUGUUAGAACUUAAAGAACUAACAGACCACUGCAGCACCAUAAUCUGUUGUUAAAAUGUCAAUGAUUUUUAGCAGAAGUAGUAUGCAAUGGUUAAUAUCAGGUCUAUUGCAAAACCUUAAGCUUUUUAG